RNAcentral lists this ribosomal RNA (650 nucleotides) under Lactarius aff. uvidus AR09558. RNAcentral describes it as "eukaryotic LSU rRNA". The stretch from base 228 to 381 matches the Rfam family "5.8S ribosomal RNA". Lineage: Eukaryota; Fungi; Basidiomycota; Agaricomycetes; Russulales; Russulaceae. The record is from RNAcentral.
GAUCAGGGCGUGUCAUCUGUCGCGCGGGUGCGCCGUGUCCCUCGUAAACCUUUCGUGCACGCCGGAGCGUGUCCUCUCACAUGAAAUCCAUCUCACCCUUUUGUGCACCACCGCGUGAGCACCCUUCGGGAUCAUACCCGAUCCAGGAAGGGGGCUUGCGUUUUCACACAAACCCCUAUUUAAAAGUGUAGAACGACCUCAUUUUUGCGAUAACACGCAAUCAAUACAACUUUCAACAACGGAUCUCUUGGCUCUCGCAUCGAUGAAGAACGCAGCGAAAUGCGAUACGUAAUGUGAAUUGCAGAAUUCAGUGAAUCAUCGAAUCUUUGAACGCACCUUGCGCCCCUUGGUAUUCCGAGGGGCACACCCGUUUGAGUGUCGUGAAAUUCUCAACCUCCUCGGUUUCUUCUGGACACCGAAGGAGGCUUGGACUUUGGAGGCCUUUGCUGGCGUCUCUCUCGCCAGCUCCUCUCAAAUGAAUUAGCGGGGUCCUCUUUGCCGAUCCUCGACAUGUGAUAAGAUGUUUCCGUGUCUUGGCUUAUGGCUCUGUUGCUUUUGGGACCCGCUUCGAGCCGUCUCGUCGAGACAACGUCUGAGCGUGUCUCCCUUCUCGGGAAACACUCUCAGACCCACGAACCCUGACCUCAAAU